Molecule: ribosomal RNA, 460 nt
Filed under: uncultured bacterium
Lineage: Bacteria
Description: partial 16S ribosomal RNA
Rfam family: Bacterial small subunit ribosomal RNA
Source: RNAcentral
CCUACGGGUGGCAGCAGUGAGGAAUAUUGGUCAAUGGGCGGGAGCCUGAACCAGCCAAGUCGCGUGAGGGAAGACGGUCCUAUGGAUUGUCAACCUCUUUAGGCGGGGAGCAAUGCCGGGCACGCGUGCACGGAGGGAGAGUACCCGCAGAAUAAGCAUCGGAUAACUCCGUGCCAGCAGACGCGGUAAUACGGAGGAUGCGAGCGUUAUCCGGAUUUAUUGGGUGUGAAGGGGGCGUAGGGGGAUUUUUAAAUCAGCGGUAAAAUGUACGUGCUCAACCCGGGCCGGCCGUUGAAACUGGGGAUCUUGAGUUGUCGAGAAGUAUGCGGAAUGCGUGGUGUAGCGGUGAAAUGCAUAGAUAUCACGCAGAACUCCGAUUGCGAAGGCAGCAUACCGGCGCCCGACUGACGCUGAGGCACGAAAGCGUGGGGAUCGAACAGGAUUAGAUACCCCAGUAGUC